UGAGGAAUAUUGGACAAUGGGCGCAAGCCUGAUCCAGCCAUGCCGCGUGUGUGAAGAAGGUCUUCGGAUUGUAAAGCACUUUAAGUUGGGAGGAAGGGCAGUUACCUAAUACGUGAUUGUUUUGACGUUACCGACAGAAUAAGCACCGGCUAACUCUGUGCCAGCAGCCGCGGUAAUACAGAGGGUGCAAGCGUUAAUCGGAAUUACUGGGCGUAAAGCGCGCGUAGGUGGUUAGUUAAGUUGGAUGUGAAAUCCCCGGGCUCAACCUGGGAACUGCAUUCAAAACUGACUGACUAGAGUAUGGUAGAGGGUGGUGGAAUUUCCUGUGUAGCGGUGAAAUGCGUAGAUAUAGGAAGGAACACCAGUGGCGAAGGCGACCACCUGGACUGAUACUGACGCUGAGGCGCGAAAGCGUGGGGAGCAAACAGGAUUAGAUACCCCUGUAGUCCCUGAGCGGGCUGGCAAGGCGCAU
RNAcentral lists this ribosomal RNA (472 nucleotides) under uncultured bacterium. RNAcentral's name for it is "bacterial SSU rRNA". It matches the Rfam family "Bacterial small subunit ribosomal RNA", at positions 355 to 825 of the family's 1533-position model. The record is from RNAcentral.